Long non-coding RNA from Bos taurus (domestic cattle), 1512 nucleotides. The record is from Ensembl. Lineage: Eukaryota; Metazoa; Chordata; Mammalia; Artiodactyla; Bovidae.
GAAGAAAACACUUUGUCUCAGCUGCUGUAGUCAGUGGCAGAGUUAGAUCAGAAUUUAGGUCUCCUGACUCCUAAUCCAGUGCCCUUUCCAUAAGCCAAAUUACCAGCUGAUAAUAUAAACUCUAGCAUUCUAGAUGAUACCUACUUGAGGAAAGAAACUAAGACCAGAAAUUCCCUUGAUGGAAACAUAGAUGAAAACACAGACGAUCAAGUGGUGAAGAACACGGGCUCUGACUUCUGGUGCUGCCUUUGCUAACCAUGUGAUGUAGAGCAAGUUAACCAGUUUCCCCAAGCCUCUGCUUUUUCAUCCAUAGGGAAAAAACAGCACCUUUCUCACAAGCUUGCUGUAAGAACUGAAGUAGGUAAUAUAAGACCUUGAUCACAGGGUUCAGCCUAAGGGCACGUGGUCACACAAAUAAAGAUGACACUUUCCAACCUCCCCUCCAGCUGAUAUGGAAAGACCCAACCAAAGCAACAUGAGCAGAAGCCAUGUGUGUAACUUCAAGUCACAUCCUUAAAAGGAGGCAUGUGUCUCCCUUCCUCCCUUCUGCUGUUUUCAGUGUGAAUGUGGGGAAGAGGCACCUUGGAUCAAGCUGGUGUAGGCCAUACUCUGCAAAGGCAGAGCAAAAUGUCAGCAUGAGCCUGGGUCCCUAGAAGAUCCCAAAGAGCAAAGCCCCCAUACAAGCACUGAAGCACCUUCUUCCAGACUGUUCCAUGGGAAAGACAUUUGCAUUUUGUAUAAGCUACUCUUGAGAGUCCUUUGGACAACAGGGUAAUCAAACCAGUCAAUCCUAAAGGAAAUCAACCUUGAAUAGUCAUUGGAAGGACUGAUGCUGAAGCUCCAAUACUUUGGUCUUCUGAUGCGAAGAGUUGCCUCACUGGAAAAGACCUUGAUGCUGAGAAAGAUUGAGGACAAAAGGAGGAGGGGGCGACAGAGGAUGAGGUUGGAUGGCAUCACUGACUCAGUGGAGCAAACUUUAGGAGAUGGUAAAGGACGCGGAAGCCUGCUGUGCUGCAGUCCAUGGGAUUGCAGAGUCGGACACAACUGAGUGACUGAACAACAAAGCCACUCUUAUUUUGAGUUUCUAUUACAAGCAGCUGACCUCAUAUGCUAGCAAAUAUUACUAAUCAAACUUGAAAUCCAGCUACUUUUCUCACCAUCAACAUACAUUCCUGGCCCCUGGAAAGCUAGAAUAUUCUCUCUAUGUGGUGGGACUCCAGCAGUUUCUACAUAGAUCUAUCUCCCCUACCUCAAACCCUACUCCACCCACUGUCCCAAAGAUUCCUGAAGGCUCUCUCUCUGAAAAAGCCAAGGCUUCCAUCUCUGGUAAAUUAUAACCCCGAGGAGGAAUAACAGACUAUACUAUUAAUCAGUUUUUGUACCUGUGAAAGGCAGAACUGAGAAUGUUCUGCUAAGGAGGGGAAAAAGGCUUUAAAAUAAAAAUGUGGCACCACUGAAAACCCAUAAACCUCACAGAUUUGCCUAAGAUUGGUGUGAGGAUAGAGCCAAACC